This 254-nucleotide ribosomal RNA is filed under the name uncultured bacterium. Its description in RNAcentral is "partial 16S ribosomal RNA". It matches the Rfam family "Bacterial small subunit ribosomal RNA", at positions 524 to 776 of the family's 1533-position model. The record is from RNAcentral.
UACGGAGGAUCCAAGCGUUAUCCGGAAUCAUUGGGUUUAAAGGGUCCGUAGGCGGUUUAGUAAGUCAGUGGUGAAAGCCCAUCGCUCAACGGUGGAACGGCCAUUGAUACUGCUAGACUUGAAUUAUUAGGAAGUAACUAGAAAUAUGUAGUGUAGCGGUGAAAUGCUUAGAGAUUACAUGGAAUACCAAUUGCGAAGGCAGGUUACUACUAAUGGAUUGACGCUGAGGCGCGAAAGCUAGGGGAGCGAACGGG